This 60-nucleotide transfer RNA is filed under the name Marmota monax (woodchuck). It matches the Rfam family "tRNA", at positions 6 to 65 of the family's 71-position model. From Rfam's summary of the family: Transfer RNA (tRNA) molecules are approximately 80 nucleotides in length. RNAcentral also lists the same sequence under 2 other names. The record is from Rfam by way of RNAcentral. Lineage: Eukaryota; Metazoa; Chordata; Mammalia; Rodentia; Sciuridae.
UGUAGCUCAGCAGUAAAGUGCUUGCCUAAUAUGCAUGAGGCCUGGGUUCAAUACCCAGCA